This 486-nucleotide ribosomal RNA is filed under the name Giardia duodenalis. RNAcentral describes it as "SSU rRNA". The stretch from base 1 to 345 matches the Rfam family "Microsporidia small subunit ribosomal RNA", at positions 129 to 427 of the family's 1311-position model. The record is from RNAcentral. Lineage: Eukaryota; Fornicata; Diplomonadida; Hexamitidae.
GCUGGCAACCCGGCGCCAAGACGUGCGCGCAAGGGCGGGCGCCCGCGGGCGAGCAGCGUGACGCAGCGACGGCCCGCCCGGGCUUCCGGGGCAUCACCCGGUCGGCGCGGUCGCGGCGCGCCGAGGGCCCGACGCCUGGCGGAGAAUCAGGGUUCGACUCCGGAGAGCGGGCCUGAGAGACGGCCCGCACAUCCAAGGACGGCAGCAGGCGCGGAACUUGCCCAAUGCGCGCGCGCGAGGCAGCGACGGGGAGUGCGCGAGCGAGGCGGGCCCACAGCCCCCGCCGCGGAGCCGAGGGCAAGGACUGGUGCCAGCAGCCGCGGUAAUUCCAGCUCGGCGGGCGUCGCGUGGCGCUGCUGCAGUUAAAACGCCCGUAGUUGGCCCCCCGCCGCCACGAGGAAACGGGAGCGCUCCAGGCAGGCCCGUUGGACCCGCCGCGUGGGACCGCGCAGCGGGCGCGGCGCGCCGCGGCAGCCCCGAGGAGAG